Molecule: long non-coding RNA, 388 nt
Filed under: Physcomitrium patens
Lineage: Eukaryota; Viridiplantae; Streptophyta; Bryopsida; Funariales; Funariaceae
Description: long non-coding RNA (PPAT_LNC005050)
Source: RNAcentral
UAUAAUAUUUUUGUGAAUUUUGAAAGUAAUUCAACAAUUUAAAAAAGAAAUAUUGGCAUUGAGAGCUCAACAUUAAGGUUGAAGAAGAAAGCCAUUUAACAUCCAAAUGGAUUAUCUUACAUUUCUCUUAGUUGGUAAGUACAAUUAAUCUCAUGUUUUUUAUGUUUGUUUUUAACUAAAUUUUUGAAAAGUCUACAAAUUUGGAAUCAAUAUCAAUGGUUUGAACAUUAAUUGUUGAUGUUUCAAUCUGCUAAAGGAUUUGUUAAAAGUUUGUUCAAGAUUUAGGAUUUGAUUAGAUUUGGUCUAAGAUUUAGGAUUUAUUUAAGAUUUAUUUAGGAUUUGGUUAAGAAUUCAUUAAAAUUGGUUUAGAAUUUGGUUAGGAUUUGAU